This 253-nucleotide ribosomal RNA is filed under the name uncultured bacterium. RNAcentral describes it as "partial 16S ribosomal RNA". It matches the Rfam family "Bacterial small subunit ribosomal RNA", at positions 524 to 776 of the family's 1533-position model. The record is from RNAcentral.
UACGGAGGGGGCUAGCGUUGUUCGGAGUUACUGGGCGUAAAGCGGGUGUAGGCGGAUUGCUAAGUCGGGGGUGAAAGCCCGGGGCUCAACCCUGGAAUUGCCUUCUAUACUGGCAGUCUCGAGUGCAGGAGAGGUGAGCGGAAUUCCGAGUGUAGAGGUGAAAUUCGUAGAUAUUCGGAGGAACACCAGAGGCGAAGGCGGCUCACUGGACUGUUACUGACGCUGCGACCCGACAGCGUGGGGAGCACACAGG